AGCAGCCCAGAGCCUGAAUCAGUAUGUGUGUUAGUGGAAGCGUCUGGAAAGGCGCGCGAUACAGGGUGACAGCCCCGUACACAAAAAUGCACAUGCUGUGAGCUCGAUGAGUAGGGCGGGACACGUGGUAUCCUGUCUGAAUAUGGGGGGACCAUCCUCCAAGGCUAAAUACUCCUGACUGACCGAUAGUGAACCAGUACCGUGAGGGAAAGGCGAAAAGAACCCCGGCGAGGGGAGUGAAAAAGAACCUGAAACCGUGUACGUACAAGCAGUGGGAGCACGCUUAGGCGUGUGACUGCGUACCUUUUGUAUAAUGGGUCAGCGACUUAUAUUCUGUAGCAAGGUUAACCGAAUAGGGGAGCCGAAGGGAAACCGAGUCUUAACUGGGCGUUAAGUUGCAGGGUAUAGACCCGAAACCCGGUGAUCUAGCCAUGGGCAGGUUGAAGGUUGGGUAACACUAACUGGAGGACCGAACCGACUAAUGUUGAAAAAUUAGCGGAUGACUUGUGGCUGGGGGUGAAAGGCCAAUCAAACCGGGAGAUAGCUGGUUCUCCCCGAAAGCUAUUUAGGUAGCGCCUCGUGAAUUCAUCUCCGGGGGUAGAGCACUGUUUCGGCAAGGGGGUCAUCCCGACUUACCAACCCGAUGCAAACUGCGAAUACCGGAGAAUGUUAUCACGGGAGACACACGGCGGGUGCUAACGUCCGUCGUGAAGAGGGAAACAACCCAGACCGCCAGCUAAGGUCCCAAAGUCAUGGUUAAGUGGGAAACGAUGUGGGAAGGCCCAGACAGCCAGGAUGUUGGCUUAGAAGCAGCCAUCAUUUAAAGAAAGCGUAAUAGCUCACUGGUCGAGUCGGCCUGCGCGGAAGAUGUAACGGGGCUAAACCAUGCACCGAAGCUGCGGCAGCGACGCUGAUGCGUUGUUGGGUAGGGGAGCGUUCUGUAAGCCUG
RNAcentral lists this ribosomal RNA (949 nucleotides) under Escherichia coli. RNAcentral's name for it is "partial 23S ribosomal RNA". It matches the Rfam family "Bacterial large subunit ribosomal RNA", at positions 296 to 1251 of the family's 2925-position model. Lineage: Bacteria; Pseudomonadati; Pseudomonadota; Gammaproteobacteria; Enterobacterales; Enterobacteriaceae. The record is from RNAcentral.